CCGCCCAAUCCGCUCUCGGGGCGCCCCCGAAGUCCUUCCGCCGCACGCGGAGGCGUGGCAGAAACGUUCCGACCGCUUCAAGUGGAGGUGGUGGAAGCCUGGAGUUCCCGGGCCGCGGCUUCUCGCAGCUGAUUUCGAGUGCGGUAAGGGACUUACUGUCCCCCCCUUCCAGCUAAGGAAGAGGCUACAGAAGCAUCAUCCCAUCUUGGAAGGUUGGAGUCCCGGUGGCCAUCGAUGCGGGAACUGAGGAGAUGACUUUGCUUAUUUCUAAGAGUUGGCAUGCAGAACGGUAGCAGCUAAACAGGACCUUGCUGUGCAAGUUUUCAGGGACGCCUCUGCUGCUCCCGGUGUUCAUGUAAGGAAUGUUUUAUUGAACACUAAGUUGGGGCCUAAGGCAGUUCUCACCACUGAGAACACAGCAGUGAAAAAAACGGACAGAAAUCCUUGGCUUCCUGGGGUUUUCUUCUAUGGAGACAGUUGUCAAGAAAAACAGAUUCGAUGAAAUGGUGAUAGUGGCAUUGAGUAAAAUGAAGCAUGAAAGGAGGAAUGGGCGGCUGUAUUAAAUCGCGUGGUCAGAGGAAUUCGCACCAGGACAGUUGAGCCACCAGCAUAAUGAGAGAGGGAGUUGACCAUGCUGAUAUUAGGGACGAUCAAGAUCUCUCCAGGUAUUGCUUUAUUGGCACCAACAUUAUUUCCCCAUGUGUUCUACUCCCUCAAAAACAAACAAGCCAUCCUGCAUAGUAGUGGAAUGAACAGGCCUGGCUUUAAUAUCAGGCUCUGCCUGACAAGCUGGGUGACCUCAAGCAAGUCACCUAUAAAAUGGGGAUACCUCCACCUACUCUACAGGUUUUAUACAUCACUAGUGGCAACUCCAUAACCAGAAGAUGAGGUCUUAUUGUCUUUAAAAGGGCGAGAGGAAAUUAGUGUUGAUGAUUUUUCCCAAAGUGCCAGUCACCUUCCAUCUUUGACUCCUCUACAGGACUCACUCAAACACCACACUUUUCCCUUUCCCUUCCUCCUAUCCUCCCUGCCUUCUCUCUAUAAACGCCAUGCUUUCUUCUUUUUCUUUUCUUUCCUUCCACUCUGCUGGGAUUCCAAGAUGGGAUGCAUUCCUAACAGCCACAGUCCCAAUCUCCAAGUUUCUCACUUAGGUUUACCACCCUAGAAACUUUUUAAUGGAAAAUCGGGGGGAAAACAGAGGGCUCUCCAAUAAAUUUAAGUUGAAGCAUAUUCGUGGAGAGAAGCCUGAAUCAUUCAGACUUUUAGCAACUAUAAAGUUUACUCUCCUCUGUACAGAUUGUAGUUUUAGACCGUGAGUCAAGUAGGAAUGGUACUAAAGCUAACUGAAAUAUGCAUAAAUCCAUAAUCCCUUGCCUUAAUUAUGACACAAUAUUCUAAUCGUGUACCAAGUAGUAUAAUAAGUGAUCUCACCCAGCCAAAUGUUCCAACUUGUAAAACUAAGGGACAACUAUAACGAAUGGAACAGUUUGUUCUUUGCCCGUCGGUGGUUGGACACCAUCCACAGUGAGGAAAUUCAUGAACAGCUCAGCCAGUGGAAUCAAGCCGAUAUGCAAAGUGUGCAACCUCAAAGGCUGGGAGAGGUGAACCUGCCUAUUCCAGUACCUUUAGAUGGAACUUAAAUCAUUCAAGAGACUCAUUAAACACCUCCAGAAUUUCUUAUAACAGUACCUAAUAAUCCUUAUCUUGAUAUGUAAACUCUAUUCUUUUAAGCAUUUGUUCAUCAUUUAUGAAUAGUCACAGUACCAAGCCUAAUGCAGUGAUGUCUACAAUUCAGAAUUUAAUCUGCACCCAACACAGAUGAAGUACAUAGGGGAUUGGGAUAAUACAUAAACUUUUAAGACACAAUUUGCUUUUUCAAAAGUCGUUUCAAAUUUCACCCUCCAGCUUUGGGAAAUAGAUGUAACUGGUCAUAUUUUUUAUUUACUUUCUGACAAGGACUGGUCUAAGUUACACAUUAACUACCUUCAUUUAACUAGAUUAGGUACAGAUAUCUUUCAAAUAAGCAAAAUGAGACACAGGAAGGCUAGGUAAUUUGCCCAAGGUCACACAUAAACACAGUAAUUGCUGGAGGGCAAAGCAAGACCACUUGCAGGAAA
Molecule: long non-coding RNA, 2117 nt
Organism: Myotis davidii
Lineage: Eukaryota; Metazoa; Chordata; Mammalia; Chiroptera; Vespertilionidae
Exons: 2
Source: RefSeq, a predicted model, not a curated record